GACGUAGGGCGCGAGCGUUGUCCGGAUUUAUUGGGCGUAAAGAGCUCGUAGGCGGCUUGUCGCGUCGACUGUGAAAUCCUGCGGCUCAACUGCAGGCUUGCAUUCGAUACGGGCAGGCUCGAGUUCGGUAGGGGAGACUGGAAUUCCUGGUGUAGCGGUGAAAUGCGCAGAUAUCAGGAGGAACACCGGUGGCGAAGGCGGGUCUCUGGGCCGAUACUGACGCUGAGGAGCGAAAGCGUGGGGAGCAAACAGG
Molecule: ribosomal RNA, 253 nt
Filed under: uncultured bacterium
Lineage: Bacteria
Description: partial 16S ribosomal RNA
Rfam family: Bacterial small subunit ribosomal RNA
Source: RNAcentral